RNAcentral lists this ribosomal RNA (347 nucleotides) under uncultured Thiobacillus sp. RNAcentral's name for it is "bacterial SSU rRNA". It matches the Rfam family "Bacterial small subunit ribosomal RNA", at positions 1035 to 1382 of the family's 1533-position model. The record is from RNAcentral. Lineage: Bacteria; Pseudomonadati; Pseudomonadota; Betaproteobacteria; Nitrosomonadales; Thiobacillaceae.
CAGGUGGUGCAUGGUUGUCGUCAGCUCGUGUCGUGAGAUGUUGGGUUAAGUCCCGCAACGAGCGCAACCCCUACGUUUAGUUGCUAACGCGUGAAGGCGAGCACUCUAGACGAACUGCCGUUGACAAACGGAGGAAGGUGGGGAUGACGUCAAGUCCUCAUGGCCCUUAUGGGUAGGGCUUCACACGUCAUACAAUGGUCGGUACAGAGGGUUGCCAAGCCGCGAGGCGGAGCCAAUCCCACAAAGCCGAUCGUAGUCCGGAUUGUUCUCUGCAACUCGAGAGCAUGAAGUCGGAAUCGCUAGUAAUCGCAGGUCAGCAUACUGCGGUGAAUACGUUCCCGGGUCUU